Molecule: small nucleolar RNA, 151 nt
Organism: Dioscorea cayenensis subsp. rotundata (Guinea yam)
Lineage: Eukaryota; Viridiplantae; Streptophyta; Magnoliopsida; Dioscoreales; Dioscoreaceae
Product: small nucleolar RNA snoR135
Exons: 1
Source: RefSeq, a predicted model, not a curated record
ACUGCAGGAUUGUGUGUAUCGGUGUUGGGCCUUCAAGAUAUGCACUACUUACAAAAGUAUUUCCUGCUAUAAUUAUCUUGUAGAAUACGGGUAGUUCCCUUUAAAUUGACUUUUUUUAUUGGGAAUCAGAGCAAUCAUUUCCCUCAUAUUU